This 254-nucleotide ribosomal RNA is filed under the name uncultured bacterium. Its description in RNAcentral is "partial 16S ribosomal RNA". It matches the Rfam family "Bacterial small subunit ribosomal RNA", at positions 74 to 334 of the family's 1533-position model. The record is from RNAcentral.
CAAACCAAAGCUGGCGACCGGCGCACGGGUGAGUAACACGUAUCCAACCUGCCUCAUACUCGGGGAUAGCCUUUCGAAAGGAAGAUUAAUAUCCGAUAGCAUAUAUUUCCCGCAUGGGUUUUAUAUUAAAGAAAUUCGGUAUGAGAUGGGGAUGCGUUCCAUUAGUUUGUUGGGGGGUAACGGCCCACCAAGACUACGAUGGAUAGGGGUUCUGAGAGGAAGGUCCCCCACAUUGGAACUGAGACACGGUCCAA